Molecule: ribosomal RNA, 253 nt
Filed under: uncultured bacterium
Lineage: Bacteria
Description: partial 16S ribosomal RNA
Rfam family: Bacterial small subunit ribosomal RNA
Source: RNAcentral
UACGUAUGGGGCAAGCGUUAUCCGGAUUUACUGGGUGUAAAGGGAGCGUAGGCGGCCUGGCAAGCCUGAUGUGAAAUACCGGGGCCCAACCCCGGGGCUGCAUUGGGAACUGCCAGGCUGGAGUGCCGGAGAGGCAGGCGGAAUUCCUAGUGUAGCGGUGAAAUGCGUAGAUAUUAGGAGGAACGCCAGUGGCGAAGGCGGCCUGCUGGACGGUGACUGACGCUGAGGCUCGAAAGCGUGGGGAGCAAACAGG